RNAcentral lists this transfer-messenger RNA (351 nucleotides) under Rubrimonas cliftonensis. RNAcentral's name for it is "Alphaproteobacteria transfer-messenger RNA". It matches the Rfam family "Alphaproteobacteria transfer-messenger RNA". From Rfam's summary of the family: Bacterial tmRNA, also known as 10Sa RNA or SsrA, is named for its dual tRNA and mRNA-like properties. Its role is to liberate the mRNA from a stalled ribosome. To accomplish this part of the tmRNA is used as a reading frame that ends in a translation stop signal. The record is from Rfam by way of RNAcentral. Lineage: Bacteria; Pseudomonadati; Pseudomonadota; Alphaproteobacteria; Rhodobacterales; Paracoccaceae.
CUACUUCACAAGCGCGCCCGGCGCGCCUAUGUUCGUCGUGUUCCGGCAACGGGACUAUGGCGAUAAACGCGCGCGGAAUAAGCGGUUCGGACCCGGGGGCGGUACCCGGCGGCUCCACCAACACCCGUUCAUUGGCGGGAAUGGGGCCGAAACAGGAUCGACGGACGUGUAAAGGCGUUAUGCUUUCGCUCGGUGGGAUUCGCCGUUAUCGGAUCGAAAAGUACAGUUGCCAAUGACAACCGUGCUCAGGUGGCCGUCGCUGCGUAAUGCAGCGCCCAAACCUACUCUGAAGUCCUGAGGCUUAGCCGCUUCAGGCGGGGCCGCCGGCGCCUGGCAACAGAAGCCGGCACU